RNAcentral lists this long non-coding RNA (276 nucleotides) under Elaeis guineensis (African oil palm). RNAcentral describes it as "long non-coding RNA (EGUI_LNC032647)". The record is from RNAcentral. Lineage: Eukaryota; Viridiplantae; Streptophyta; Magnoliopsida; Arecales; Arecaceae.
UCCUUUGUCUUUUUUUUUAAAUUUUUAUAUUAUCUCUUUCUUCUCUGAAAUAUUAAAAUGUAAGAUGUUAUGUAGGAAGAAUAAAUAGCAGUAUAAAUAUUUAAGAUUUCAUUCAUCUUCUGUUCAUCUUUUCUCAAGAAAUAUUUAUUUGAGAUAUGUUAGAGAUAUUUUUGAUAUUAUAUGAUCAAUAAUCUUAAAUUCCCGUAGUAUACUAAAUAAGUUAUCUAUACACACUCAGAGGUCUUUAAUCACAGCAUUAUGGCCAACCAAACAUAG